RNAcentral lists this ribosomal RNA (356 nucleotides) under uncultured prokaryote. Its description in RNAcentral is "bacterial SSU rRNA". It matches the Rfam family "Bacterial small subunit ribosomal RNA", at positions 8 to 352 of the family's 1533-position model. The record is from RNAcentral.
AGAGUUUGAUCCUGGCUCAGAUUGAACGCUGGCGGCGUGCCUAACACAUGCAAGUCCAACGUGAAAGGGGAGCAAUUCCCCGGUAGGGUGGCAAACGGGUGAGUAGUACAUGGGUGAUCUACCUUAGGGAUGGGAUAUCCUUCCGAAAGGAGGGGCAAUACCGAAUAUUGUCCGGAGCCGUGAAGGUUCCGGGAAGGGAGGCCUCUGAUACAAGCUUUCGCCUUAAGAUGAGCCCAUGGCCCAAUCAGCUAGUUGGUAGGGUAAAGGCCUACCAAGGCGACGAUCGGUAGCUGGUCUGAGAGGAUGAUCAGCCACACUGGGACUGAGACACGGCCCAGACUCCUACGGGAGGCGAC